GUCCGGCAACGAGCGCAACCCUUAUCCUUAGUUGCCAGCACGUGAUGGUGGGAACUCUAAGGAGACUGCCGGUGAUAAACCGGAGGAAGGUGGGGAUGACGUCGAGUCAUCAUGGCCCUUAUGGGUAGGGCUACUCACGUGCUACAAUGGCCAGGUACAGAGGGCAGCAAACUCGCGAGAGUAAGCAAAUCCCACAAAGCUGGUCGUAGUCCGGAUUGGAGUCUGCAACUCGACUCCAUGAAGUUGGAAUCGCUAGUAAUCGUGAAUCAGAAUGUCACGGUGAAUACGUCCCGGGCCUUGUACACACCGGCCCGUCACACCAU
RNAcentral lists this ribosomal RNA (323 nucleotides) under uncultured gamma proteobacterium B2M15. RNAcentral describes it as "bacterial SSU rRNA". It matches the Rfam family "Bacterial small subunit ribosomal RNA", at positions 1084 to 1405 of the family's 1533-position model. The record is from RNAcentral. Lineage: Bacteria; Pseudomonadati; Pseudomonadota; Gammaproteobacteria.